CAGUAGGGAGGAAGGUAGUGUAGUUAACACCUGCAUUAUUGUACGUUACCUACAGAAGAAGACACCGGCUAACUCCGUCGCCAGCAGCCGCGGUAAUACGGGAGGGUGCGAGACGUUAAGUACGGUAAUUACGUGGGACGUAAAGCGCAUGCAGGCGGCCGUGUUAAGUCAGAUGUAGAAACGGCCCGGGGACCGUUAACCGUACGGUAAGUUGCUAUUUAGUAAACGUGGCGAGGCUAGAGUCUUGUAGAGGGGGGUAGGAAUUUCAGGUGUAGCGGUGAAAUGCGUAGAGAUCUGAAGGAAUACCAGUGGCGAAGGCGGCCCCCUGGACAAAGACUGACGCUCAGAUGCGAAAGCGUGGGGAGCAAACAGGAUUAGAUACCCUGGUAG
Molecule: ribosomal RNA, 390 nt
Filed under: uncultured bacterium
Lineage: Bacteria
Description: bacterial SSU rRNA
Rfam family: Bacterial small subunit ribosomal RNA
Source: RNAcentral